Long non-coding RNA from Pleuronectes platessa (European plaice), 601 nucleotides. RefSeq lists it as uncharacterized. The record is from RefSeq and is a predicted model, not a curated record. Lineage: Eukaryota; Metazoa; Chordata; Actinopteri; Pleuronectiformes; Pleuronectidae. The transcript is spliced from 4 exons.
GUUGGCGAUAAGAGCAGAAAUGUCACCUUGGUCUCUGCAGCUUCUGAAAACUCCAUAAAACUUUGAUUAUUCCAUGGAGUUGGGAAGUGGAAGGGGUCAUUUCGAGCAUCCCAGUUUCUGAAAAAAAGUGUGCACCACUGAUGUCAUGCAUCAUGUCACCUCCUGCACCUUGUAAUGUGUCAGCGGUGAGCUUCACAGGAGGUUGAUUCUAUCUUCUUCAGCUCCAGCCUGAGCCGUCACCUCAACCAACCACUACCUCUAUGACGUCUGCUUGACAUUUAUGCUGACCCCCCUAGUCCUCUGGAGGAGUGCCCUUUAUGAAAAGAUGUAGGAGGUAAGUGUGUGUGUUUGUGUCUGUAUGUGUCCUUGUGUGUGUUUGUGCAUGUGAGCGUGCAAGCGUGCGUGAGGAUCGCAGGGCUAGAGUUGUGACUUCACCAUCUACCUACUGCACCGUGAACUGUUACUGAAUGCUAAAUAUGUCUGCGAGUGUCACCUCCUGACCCCCUGCAGCUCCCUGAGGCCGUCACCGUGCACUUUGCAUGUGAAAUGCUGGAAGAGAGCGGUCUCCUUCGUUGUCAUCAUGAGCCAUGCCACCUCUGUC